Molecule: non-coding RNA, 258 nt
Organism: Cherax quadricarinatus
Lineage: Eukaryota; Metazoa; Arthropoda; Malacostraca; Decapoda; Parastacidae
Source: RefSeq, a predicted model, not a curated record
CCGUGUGUUGGUGUUGUUAGGUGCGUUGUACCUAGUGCUGUAGUGAAUUACCUCGGGAAUGGUGAACGGUCUAAGUGAAUGAUCUUCUUAAGAUAUAUAAUGAUAUGGUGAUGUGCUGAAGGAUCCCUGGUGAUAUUGUGAUGAGUUUCUCCUCCAACAACACGAGUUAUGUUGAUAAACAGCGUCUAGUUUUCUCCCACAAGGAUAAGGCAAGUGUGUUUAUAGCUUCUCGAGGGACAGUUACACCUGGAAACAAAG